RNAcentral lists this ribosomal RNA (244 nucleotides) under uncultured bacterium. Its description in RNAcentral is "partial 16S ribosomal RNA". It matches the Rfam family "Bacterial small subunit ribosomal RNA", at positions 31 to 270 of the family's 1533-position model. The record is from RNAcentral.
GAACGCUGGCGGCAUGCCUUACACAUGCAAGUCGAACGGCAGCAUGGAGGAGCUUGCUCCUCUGAUGGCGAGUGGCGAACGGGUGAGUAAAGCAUCGGAACGUGCCGUGUAGUGGGGGAUAACGUAGCGAAAGUUACGCUAAUACCGCAUACGCACCGAGGUGGAAAGCAGGGGAUCGCAAGACCUUGCGCUAUACGAGCGGCCGAUGUCAGAUUAGCUAGUUGGUAUGGGUAAAGGCCUACCA